Pogoniulus pusillus (Red-fronted tinkerbird) is the source of this 1167-nucleotide long non-coding RNA. RefSeq lists it as uncharacterized. The record is from RefSeq and is a predicted model, not a curated record. Lineage: Eukaryota; Metazoa; Chordata; Aves; Piciformes; Lybiidae. The transcript has 4 exons.
CAGGAGAGGCAGAAGCCUCAAGCUUGCCCAACUGGGCAGAGGGAUCCUCCUCCUGGCGUCACUGGAAUGUUAUGGGAGAGAGGACUAAAACCACUGCUGAAGUUGAGGACAUGCACUCCUUCCUCCACAUCUACAUAUCCAAUCAUUUCUUUCAUGGAAGGUCUGAGUUCCAGUUCCCUUGCCAGCACCAAAAUGUUCCACAGUAUCUACAGCUUCUACAGCUUUUAGAUUUGUAAUUUCUAUUAUUACUCCAGUUGCUGCUAGCAUGAUACAUAUAUAUCAGAUAGCUACAGAAACAGCUACAAUAAAGCUUUGUCAGUUGCAUAAUAUUGGCAAUUGUUUGAUGUCUGACUACCCCCAGCCUUUGCAAUUGGUUCUGGGAGGAUCAUCAUGAAGCCAUGAUAAUACCACAGACUCCAGUGGAUGAAGACCAUAGAUAUGACUUUAAUGCAUAAAACUGCAUGCUCACUUUGAGAGGAAUUCAAGCCUAUGCUAAAAUAACUAAAUUCAGAUGUCACAUGUAAAUCAGAUACCUAUGUUACUAUUGCAAGCAAUAGACUUAGGCAAAUAUUCACAUCUUUUGUAUGUCACAGAUGGGGUCAACAGUUGCUGCUCAAAAAGGUGCAUGACCUCACUGAGUCUUGUAUUUUUCAGCCAGGUAUCUUAGAGUUCUGUGAAGAUGUCUUAGACUCCCUAGAGGAUUGCAAACGAUUAUAUGAAUAUCAAAAGAAUCCCAUCCUGAAUCAUUGAAGACAAGGGAGAUGGGAGGAAAUUCGCUUUACUCUCAGGUAUUGAUCAGUGACAGUUUGAGAUGUUCUUCACAAUCACUCGUCCUGGGAGGCCUAAUUAACAAAGCCUGGCUUGCUGAAAUAGAUAAAACUCAAUGUCCACUGAAAUUAAUGCGAUGCUGUCUAAGCAUCUUUCAACUAUUAAGGGAAAAUCAAGUUUAAGUGGAAGGAAUGAGGAAAGUCCUCUUAAGAACUAAAACAAUUGUGACUGGAAAAGUGGAUUAAGACAACAAUUUUACAAGGACAAUGCAGGGACAUCAAGAGAUCUACUUUAAAGAUAAAAAAAGCCCCAAAAUCUUCAUCUUCUUAUUCCUUUAGUAUUGAUGGUGCCUUCUGCUACCAAAAGAGAUUUCUUUUUCUGUGAAUCACAGAAGUGCAG